Molecule: long non-coding RNA, 11610 nt
Organism: Mirounga angustirostris (Northern elephant seal)
Lineage: Eukaryota; Metazoa; Chordata; Mammalia; Carnivora; Phocidae
Exons: 3
Source: RefSeq, a predicted model, not a curated record
AGGAAUGGUCAGGGAGAUGCAUCACUGCUGGCUGUGAAAUGGAAGAAGGGCCAAAAAACAAGACAUCAAGGUGUCUUUUAGAAGCUGGAAAAGGCAAGGAAAUAGAUUUGCUCCCAGAGCCUCUAGAAAUGCACCCCUGCUCCCACCUUGAUUUUAGCCCAUUGAGAUCCAUGUUGGAAUUCUGUCCUAUAGGACUAUAAGGUAAUACAUUUGGGUUGUUUUAACCCACUGAGUCUGUGGUAAUUUAUUACAGCAACAGUGAGAAACUGAUAUAUCAGCAAAUAAGUUGUAGUUGAAGUUUGCUCUCUGAAGCCUUUGUUACGAAAAAAAUAUUUUUUCAAAGUAGAAAAUUAUAGUACUAAAUCAUAAUUUUUAUUUUUUUAAUCAUAAUUUUUAGAAUACUGCCAGAUUCUUACUAUUCCCUUCUUCUCUUCUCUCUCUUGUCUCGAGAAUCGCUCUUCUCACCCAUUCCUACCUCCACAAAGCAGGGGUGGAAGGUAGGAUUAAAGAACCGUGCCCCUCUGGUGUGGCAGGGCAACAGAAUGCGGCUAGUAGGAGACUUAUGGCAAAAAGAACUAGCAAUAAGUAGGGGAUUUCAAAAGAUAAACUUUUCUUUUAUUUUCCCCAAGACUCCCAUCAUCUGUUCAUAGCUUUGCUUUGCUUUAAAAAUGACAUAUGGACAAAUUCUCAAAAUAACACAGGUGAUGUUGCCACAGUUUAUCUAAUGUUGGAGAGGCCAUGGCCCAGCGGUGCUGUAGAUACAAGGGACUCGGUGCUUCAGGUUCACACAGAUUUUUGAGAAAGUAAACAGAAGGGGUUGAGAAGGAAGUGUAGUUGAUCCCUAGUGUGGAAUUAGGAAUAAAACAUGAAAGCUUAGGCAUCAGAAUAUUGAGACUUCGUCAAUAGAAAUGGAUUCAAGCACACAUGAGGUAUUUCACUGUAAAUACGUAGCAGAAUGUUCUCUCCCAUUUGAAAAUGCACUUAUAGCAAAAAGGAAAUUUGUAUCAAAACUCUUCUAGGUUUAUGAUUGAAAGAGUGCUGAGAAAAUAAAAGCAUAAAUUCAUGUAGCUCUUUCAAUGCCCCUGCAGCUGACUUCCUUAAGCAUAGAGAAUGUGUUUUUAAUUAUAAUCACUCUGGCCACACUAUCACUGUUUUUUUGGAGAUGCAUGAUGUUUAUUUGGAAGAUUUUCUGUUGCUUUAGAACCACAAAACUGCUGACAUUUUGCAAUGCACUGAAAGUGAUGCUCUAUAAAGAUUUCCAUGAGAUGAUGGUACAGUGAGACUACUUAUGGUCUCUAUGAUAUUAUUGAUGGACAUAGUGGCAGUCAGAUAUGUGUGGGGUAAUAAGGCAUUGACAUGUUUUCAAGGAACAUAGAAGACAGUCAAGUCCCCAGACCCAGCAAUUCAUGUAAAUGGACCUUACAGUAGAGUAUUCAGAAUCAUAGGCCAGGUUUAUAAGGAGAAGGUUGGUGAUAACUAUGAAAUAUUUAAAUAACUAAUAACAUCAACUAAAUAAGCCAGAAAGCCAUGACUCUUUAAAGUGAAUAAAUAGAUCAUUCCUAUAGAAAAAUGGGUUUAACUUCCUUCUUUUGUGAGUGAUUGUGAAUGAUUAAAACUCAUUUCUGUUUACCUCCAUGUAGUUGUCCUUAUGGUUUUCUGUCACUUAACUUGAAUUCUUAAUACAUUUUAAAGUAUCAAAUUGAAAAUAAAGUAUCUGUUAAGAGGUUUCUCACCCUAAGUUUAUAAGUUUUCAUGAUGCUAUGUUCUGGAAGUACAGCAAACUCUCAUUAGUUAGGAUUACACUAAUUUAACUCAUCAUCUCAAUAUUGUGUCCUUAAACGUAACACCUAUAUACAGUUGUUAGUGUGAGUACAUGAACUAAUAAAUCAGUAAAUCUGUCUUUUCAGUUCCUUGGUACUUUCUCUGGGUUAGCAAAAAAAAAAAAAAAAAAAAAACUUAAGCUUUUGCUUUCCCAGAUGGUCUCUGUUUUGCCCAGGGUUUCUCAGAGUAUAAUUUCUCCAAGCUCAAGGUAGUUCUAGAUUUUAAAGAUAAAUAUUUUUCAGUAUGGCCUUCAAAUGUUAGACAAUUAUGUAAUCUGGUACUUCUUCAAAAAAGCUAAAUUCUCUUCCCACUUAGUAGGGAAAUCUAAUUGAGAGAGCAUGUUGGUCUCCAAAUGGCAAUUUCUAAGGGAUUUGUAAAGGUUUAUGCAUGAUUUUCCCCAUGGUAGUUGAUAUUUCAAAACCUACUUUCCCCCAUCCCCACUGCUUUUAUAAAGCUCAGCUCUAUGAGAACCUAUGAAGAUGUUUUUAAAAUCCCUGGUGCUGAGAUUCCUACACUUGAGUAUGUGUACAGAAGAUCAGCUGGGAUCUUGUUAAAUAUGUUGCUUAUCAGACAACAUCCGUAGAAAUUCAGACUGAAUAGGUCUUGGAUUGCACUUUGGAAAUUGUGCUUGUAAAAGCUGCAGGUGGAUGUUGUAGGGGACAUCCCAGGCCAUACUUGGAGAACAGUUGCCUUAGAUUGCUCAGUGUGCUGGCAUGGUUGUGUGGGUGUACAAACAUCAUGCACGCCCAUGCAGUCUAGUCUAUCAGGCAGUCUGCUCCCGUCUGGUUGUCCAUAUCCCAUAUCUCUCCUCUGCCUCACACCUGCCCCCUCACCCUUGCAAUUAUGUCAUAAUUUUACAAAGUUAGCUUCCCAGGAGACCUAUGGUAGAUAAAAUUAAUAUUAUUAUAGAAAAGGUCCUAAAAUUUUUCUCUGGGGUAGGUGACACUUUGCUUUUGAAAAAGCUGUACUUCCUUUUCUGUGGGAUAGCAGAGCUAGACUGCCCUUGAUAAGUAUGCCUCUUUCUUUCAAUGCCUCUCUUCCAUCCUACAUUGAUAGUGCCCUGUCUGCCAACGUUUUCUCCACCAUAACAUACCCUGAGACAUGUCCUAAUUCUCAUUGCUCUCCCUAGUUUUUCAAAACACUUUCAUGAGCAGCAGAUGGUCUGAAAAGCAAGUUAAUCUGUAACGUGGUAUAAAUGGGAAUUAGUAAAUACUGGUGAAUCCAAGCAUUAAACCUGGGGCUGCAUCUUCAUCAACAGUAAGUAAGUUGUAGGUUUUGUGCUCGCUUAGAGGGGCAAAGGGGCAAGGGGGUUUUUCUGCUCAAGGGACAUAUAAUAUAUUGGUGGGAAUUUCAAUAUGAUACCUUGAAACUGGGGAAAUAAAUUUGAGCAAAUGUAGGAUAGGUAUGCUUUGCGUCUCUUUAUUGGGUGGCGAAGUUCUGCUCCUUCAUACAGAUGUUUCUGCUUCACCCUUUGGGCUGUAAAUCCCUCGAAGUCUCUUAGGUUCUACACACAGCUCCUGUACCACUGUGGACUAAAAAAAUAGUAAGUUGCAUUACAUCCUCCACCCAGUAGAAACUAAUGAUGGGUUUUCAUAUAAAGUGAAAGGAAGAUUUUUUUAAAAAUUCAAAUUAACAAAAAUUUAUUAGGCAUAUUUGUCUUCAUAAACUAUUUGCUAUUGGGUACGAUACUCAGUUUUGGGUAUUAUAUAAUGGCAAAUAACCGUUUUCUGCUUGUGAUUUUACCGAUUAUCAAUAGUGCAUUCUUUGUUACUCCUACCUAAAGAUUGAUUGAUUGAUUGAAUCUGUACUUUAAAAAUGGCUUCUUAAUCCUAUUGUUUUUCUCUUGUUUAGUAUCUGCUGUUACUAUGAACCGUUUUUUUUUUUUAAGAUUUUUUAUUUAUUUGUCAGAUAGAGAGGGAGAGGGCACAAGUAGAGGAAGCUGCAGGCAGAGGGAAAAGCAGACUCUCCGCCGAGCAGGGAGCCUGAUGUGGGACUCGAUCCCAGGACUCCGGGAUCAUGACAUGAGCCACCCAAGUGUCCCAUCCAUUUUCUAAAUAUACUUGAAGAUGGGCAAAAUGGAGAAGUGAGUAUGCUUUUCCCAGUUUUUUCAAGAGUACAAAAGUACAUGUUACAAAGACUGGAAUUUGGAUUCAGUAUAUACAUAACUUGUUAAGGAUAGCUACCCCAAGAUAGAAACAAUAGCUUUCUUGAGGGAGUGAAACUUAGAUCAGACGUGAUCUGACUUCCUCUGAGGUUCCUGCUUCCCAGGAACUGUUGACUAGACAAUGUGCAAACACCCUUCCCAUUCAGGAUCAGGAAAAUCCUGAAGCCAGAGUGUAUUGGAGUGUGCCUGGAGGGCGCUGGACUAUCCAUUUAUAAAAUGCCCACUAGAGGGAGUAUAACAUCAUGAAUAUUUCCUUCCAGGUGCCUUCUUUCUGGUAAGCAAGAUUGAAAGGCAAAUAUCUAGAAUUUAUUUCAUGUUCUCUUUAAUAUUUUUCUCAUUGAAAUCUUAUGGAAAAUUCUGAUAAGCAAAUAUGUUUUUAAGAAAAUUUAGUGCAGUAUACAAUAAUGGAACAUUAGUAUCUUUCUUGUACAUGUGAAAAGUUCAGAAUUUAAAAUCGUGUAGACAGAAAAUCGAGAUCAGUUAUUUGUGCCUAUCAAUAUAAAACCUCUUGAUUCUACAUCUGAGUAUGUUUCACCAAAUUGUCUUAGGUUUGUUGUUACUGUUUUAUUUGCGGUGGAUAUGAUUCCACUAUUUACCUGUGAGCCUGCCACUUUAUUAUAGCUUUCCCGAAAAGACUUCAAGAUGCACUUUUUCACUGGAGAAUUGGUUUGAUUAUACAGUAACAAAAUCAGAUGUUUAAUUCUUAAUUAAAAAAAUCUAUUUGUCUUAGGAAAAUUAAAAAUGGAAAUUUCUCAGGGAUAAAAAGUCCUACUUAUUCUUAUAUAAGUGGUUCUGCAUUUAUAUCUUACUUUCUCAUAUUUCUGUUAAAAUAUCUUACAUUUUUCCCAGUUUUCCUAAUUUGAAAAACAGUCAAAAUUUGAAUAAGUUGCCAAGUUCUGUUUUGAACUUUUUAUUUUUGAAUAUUUGGAGAAAAAAAUAAAAAUAAUUUAUCUCUUUCGAAGCACUGAACAUUAAAACAUAAUUUUAAAAGUUAAAAGUAAAAUAUUUAUGCAAAACUGAGAUGAUAUAAACUUUUUUAUUGGUACAUUUUAAACUUGAUUUACAAAAUUCUCAUCAAAGAAAAAGAAGUGCAUGUAUAUCAUUGGAAAUAUUUUUUUAAUGAAAAAAAUUAACUUCUUAGCAUAUUAACUAUUUGAAAAACAUGUCCAACUGAUUUUAUCACUCACCUUCCUGUCAGCAUUUGUGGUCAAAAAAGAGUUUUCCCCUAACCUCUCAGUUCACUGAAAAUUGUAACUUUUAUUUAGAUUGAAUUUUUUCAUAUUCCUUUCCCAUUGCAGUAAAAAAAAAUACCACCACUUUGUAAGUGAUGUGUUGAUGUGGAAAUAGCUAUUUUGACUUUAUAUUGACUUUUAAUAAAUUAUUUGGGGCAAGGGUGACUUCUUGAUCUCUUGAACUGUUCUUUUGUUCUUUUCUUACAUUUGCUUCUAUUCGCCUGAAUGAUGCUGUCACUGGGUCGACUCCUUCAUUACCUCACUUGUAAAUAAAAUCAAUCUCCAACUUUCUUCAAAAGUCAGGCUUUUUCAUUGUACUUUUAUUUACGUUUAGAAAAGUUUAGUAUGAAAUUAAUACAUACUUGUUGUAAACAACCAAACAUACGUAAAUGGUACUGCAGGACAAAAAUUAAAAGGUAAAAUUUUUUUUUCCGUCUCUUAGACUUUGUUCUCCCUCUGUGGAAUUUGAAUCUUCUCAGAUAUUUUCUAGUACAUGCAAUCCUGCUAUAUACACAUUAUUAAAUGUGUAUAUUUCCUUUCCUUUUUUUUUUUUUUACAAAAAUGGAAUCAUAUGAAAAAUACUCUUCUGUGGCUUUCUUUUUUUCACUAACAGUGUAUUUUUAAGAGGGUUCUGUGUCAGUACUUACAGAAUUACUUCAGUUUUUACAGUUCCAUAAAAUUCCGUAUUUUAUUUAGGCUCCAGUUUCCUACCGAUAGACAUUUAAAUUGUUUCCAAUAUUGCAUUAUAUCAUAGUGCUGCAGUGUAGGAAUUUGAGCAAACAUUUUUGGGAUCUCGUUCAUUUCCUAUCUUUUUAUAAUUAAAAUGUGCUGAAAAAAAUGGCAGACUUACAAUUUAUGUUUUAUUCAUGGCCUAUUUCCACAAAGUUUAUAAGAUGUCUAUGUUUUGUAUCAUUCUGUAUCUCUGAACGAUAUUUACUUUUAUCAACAAAGCAUGUUGGAUGCCAAUAAUCAGAAUUCAAAACAAAAAAUGUUUAUUUCUCUGAAUGUAUCUUUACCAGAAAGUGAAAGAAUCAUUUGUCUUACUAAUUCAGGUGGAAACACUAUGUGAAAGAUUGGAGGAAAAAUUCCCUCAGUGAAUUACUAGAAUCACUGUGACUUUAGAUCAGGUUGAUCAAAUAUGAAAUUAACUGUUGGAUGUUAAUAUUUUUGUUGUUAAUUAAAUGGCAAGCAUUGAGUGGUUAGGUAAAACUGUCAUGACAACACACUCUGGAGUACUCUGUAGUAAUUAAAAGCAACAAAUUAUAUGUGCAUAAAGCAACAUGAAUAUAUUGUAAGAACACUAUUGAAUGAUUAAUAAAGAGAAUGAAUCAAAAUCUGUAUAAAUCAAUAAACUUUGUUGAUUAUGAGGUUAUAAAUCAAUGCAUUUUACAUUAAAAUAUACACAAGACAUUGUAUAUUAAACAAAAAUUCCUAGGAAUUCAAGGCUAUCCAAUAUGUUAGCAUGGUUCUAGAAACAGUGAAAUGGGAUUGGGGAAUGAACAAAAGACAGGCAGAAAAUAAAACAAAGAAUAAGCAUUUUAACAAUGUUUUCAUGAUUUAGGGGAUACUGAUGUGUCUUUUUGCUGGAAUCAAUGAUUUCCCAUGAACACUUUCUAAAUUGACCUGUUCUUUGAAUAUUUUUGUUUUUUUCAAGUGGACAGUUGCUGGAAUAGGCAGGAAAGAUGCAGUACUCACAUUCCUCAAAUACAGUGACAGGAAUUAGUAUCUAGCUAUAAUUCUGUGGCUGUAAAUGAUGGUAUAUUUUAGAGAUGACAGUAGUGGGAGGUUACCUGUAUUCUGGGUCUACCUGGGACUUGUUUGAGGUGGUUAAAUUGCUCAAAAGAUGAGAGAUACAUGGUUGUAUUAAAGCUUUGUUAUAACAUGACCCCAAAGUCAGGACACAAGGAUAGCCCAGGUAGCUAACUGUUUGGACUCUUCUUCCUGGCUCUCUGAAGAGAUGUUCCAAGAGCUGGGAAGUGGGCCUGAGGGGUAGAACUGUCCAGUAGUCAAGGUUCAGAGCCAAAGGGAACUAAAGACUGCGUCGUGAGCAAAUGAUAAAACAAACAGCUAAAAUUUGCAUCCAACAUGCUACACCUGGUCCUAACCAUGCAACACAUACCUGUUCAAUCUUCACAACAAAGCCAUGAGGUUAUAGAUGAGAAAACUGAGCCACAGAGAAGUAAAGUACUGGGCUUAAGAUUAUGCGAUUAGUGAAUGGUGGAACUGAUAUUGAAAUCCAGGAUGAUUGCUAAAGGGUCUAUGUUCUUACCCAAUAUUGCCUCUUUGAAAAGGGUGGGGAUGGUGAAAUAAUCAACCAUUUCAUGUGGUAGGUUCUGGUGGGCUUGUAGAAGCAGUGGUGGAGAUGGAAUCCAAAGACAUGGAGGGAAGGCCUGGUGGAAUGGGAUAGAAGGGUCAGCAAGAAGUGGUAGAAAUCCCGAGGCCAUUCUGUGGGGGCUGGAGGGGUUGUGUCGUGCGUCCUGGUCUUGAUGAACAAGGCAGGAGCUCCGAGGGCUGGUCAGCCCGUUUGUGUAAUAGGAAGAUCUCAGUUCCCUUCAUCUCUCAAGCCUUAGCACAGAUUUCUGAAUAAUAAGUUUGGCAGUGUGGAGGCAGCCAAAUCAGGAUUCUGGAAACGGGAUAUUCUUUGUUUUGGUGAAGUUGGCAGCCCUCUCUGUAUCUUCUUUCUGGAUGAAUAAAAACUCCAAACAUCAUGAGCCGGAUGUUUGAAUGUUUUUAAACCUUGUAAUUUUGUGGAUUUUUCCUGGCCCCCUUCCCCAGACUCCCACCCCAGUGAUGUCACGAAGCUUUUGCAUUCGGUUUCUUCAUUUCUCUUGACUUUCCAAUGAAGAAAGUGUGAUUUGAGUUUCUUUUCUCAGGAAGGUGAUGGCAAAAGGAUAUUUAUAGUGUUGAAGAAUUUUUAUUUUCUCUCAGACAUCUAGGAUGAGUAGUAUAUUUUAAACCCUACUCUCCAGGAUAUCUCCCUUCUGCUGAGAUAAUAAAAUUGAUCAGAUGUUUUGAGGUUAAAUAAACUUUUGUAAUAAUCUGGCAGCUGCCCGCUGGUUAUGGUUUUUCAAAAGCAAUUACUCACUCUGGAGUCAACUUUGAACUCUACAUUUUAAUUGAAAAAGCUAAUUGUAGGCUAUUGCUUCUGAUGGAGCGUUUGAUUUGGCAGCUUAGGAAGUAAAAGGACAUUGAGAAGGGAGGGGAGAGGAAGAGAAAGUAAAGUGUUGUGGAGCUUAAAUUCCUGUUUAUGUACGAUUGUUUUCACACACAACACAUCGUAUGCAACCGGAGAAAUGGCAGUUGGACUAAAAAGUCUCUGAGGCAUCCGUCUGAGACUGGAACCGUACUUUAUGAUAACAUCUAUGGAGGGAGAUAAGGGAUAAUAAGAGAAGAAGAAUUUGAAGUUGGUGAUCUACAAUUAUAUUCAGCAUCUCAGAAGCUGGCAUGAAAAAAAGUUUUAAAAUGGAUUCAACUAAUGUAUGCGUUUUCCAGGGGAGGAUGCGAGAGAAAACAAAAGGCAAGCAAUAAUUAAAAGGGAAUAAUUUCAACUAGAGAAUAUGGACUAAAGGCCAGGUGAAAGAGUGAACAGGACACAAAUAGAGGGUGAAAAGCAGAGUCAAUGUUUUAGAUGUUUCACUGAAGCUGAAGAAUGUAAGCUGAAACAACAGCAGGUGGCAACCAGAGAAAAGAGUGAUUGAUUUUAAGAUUUCACGUGCAGUGAGUUACUGCUGGUGCAAAGUCAACAUCACUGGCUGGGAAGGGGGUGGAAGAACAGGUGAUUAGAGGUGAGGAAGGGAAGGAUCUGUCAGGCAGGUGAAAUGGUUCCUCCACAUGAAUUCUGAAGUCACCAAGAAUGAUGGCAUGAAUAGGAACGGAGAAGAAGAAGAGAAUGAGUCCAAAGCAAAUGUGAAGGAGUGAUUGAGUCAAUACAUGAGAAUAAGAAGGUGUAGGGGGUGAUUUUGUCUUAUGGUGCAAGCUUCAAACAGGAGGGAGUCAUGCACACCAAACUUCUUCCCUUCUGAUCCUAUGGUAUAUGGGGUAUGAUAGAAAAAAUACUUCGCUUUAGACUGUUGCAAGGAAAGUUACGUCAUCAGGACUUAGGAAGUUAAAGAUAAUAUUCACAGAAGAGUUCGAAGGGAUAAGGGAAUCUCAGGAUGACAUACUGACUUCAUAAUUUGCAGGACCCAGUACAAAAUGGAAAUGUAGGAAAUCAUGUCCAAAAACCAGUUAGAAUGUCACGAUGGUGACAAAUGAACAUUACAUCAAAUGUGAGCCCUUGUAAGUGUGGGGUCCUGUGUGACUGUACAGGUCGCAUGCCUGUGAAGCUGCCACCACAGUUUUUGGGGUUUCACGCGGCUAGGAAAAAGAUUUGGGAGAGAAGGCAGAAUUUGGUCAGAUUAGGAGAUAUAUUAAAUUUCUUUGUUUGAAGCUGCUCUGUGCCUAAAUGCUUAAACACUAUUAUCAUUUAAUGCUUCUAAUAGAUGAGGUGAGUAUUAUUUCCUCAUUUUACAGAUAAGGAAUGUGAAGCACUGGAAAUUCAAGUGAUUUGCCCAAGGUCACAGUAAGUGGAAGCCUGGUUCUAGAUCUGUGUUUCUAACUAGCAAGCUCUGUAGCUUAUCAGUGGAUCUAGAGAUAAUAGAUGGUUUGGGAGGCUCAGACUUUGGGUUGGCCAAAGUGAACAGGAGUGCAAGAUGUGAUAGGAUUAGUCCUCAUGAAGUCCUUAGAGAAGGAAGAAGAAUCAGCUACAAAGUAUAGUUUUUUGUUUGAUUUUUCUUUAAACUAUAUUGAGGUACAACUGACGUGUAAUAUAUUAGGAUAUUAAAGUAUACAUUGUGAUGAUUUGACAUACAUUGUGAAAGGUCCCCCUGUUCUGGUUUAACACAUCCAUCACUUCACAUAUUUAUCUUUUUGUUUGGUUGGUUCUUUUCUGGUGAGAACAUUUAAGUUCUACUCCGCAAAAUUUCACUAUACAGUACAGCAGUAUCAGCUCUAAUCACCAUGUUUUACAUUAGAUCUUUAGACCUCAUGUGUCCCAAGAAAAUGAAAAGAGGCUAUCACAGAGGCAUCGGCACAAAGAGAUACGCUCUUUAUGACGCUAUUCACAAUAGUCAAGAUAUGGAAAGAAGUGUCCAUCCAUGAAUAGAUAAAAAUGAGGUAUAUAUUUUUUAAAUGAAUAUACAAUAGAAUAUUGUUCAGCUAUGGGAAAGAAGGAAAUCCUGCCAUUUGCGAUAACAUGGAUGGACCUUGAAGCAUUAUGGGAAGAGAAAUAAUCCAUAGAGAGAAAGACAAAUACUGCUAGAUAUCACAUAUACAUGGAAUCUUAAAAAAAAAAAAAAAGUCAAACUCAUAGAAACAAAAAACAGAAAAGUGAUAGCCAGGAGCUGGUGGGUGGGGGAGAUAGGGAGAGAUUGGUAAAAGGGUAUAAACUGUCAACUCUAAGGCGAAUAGGGUCCAAGGAGCUAAAGUAAAACAUGGCGACUAUAGCUGGUAACACUGCAGGGUACGGUUUUGAUUCCCUAACAUGUAAGUAUUCUCAGUUAUCUCUCAUGUUCUACUUUCAAAGAAGAAAUGUGCUUUCUUGGAAUUGUGCUUUUCAAACAAAGUGUUAUAAACAGAAAUAAUUUGAUUAAAUUAUUUGAUGAAAGUUUGAGAAACAAAAUUGAGUAAAUGAAAUCAUUAUUGACGGAGGUGGCACAAAAGGAAAAAAAAAGUCCUCACAUAUGGAUGAAUUUUUACACACUGAAAAAUUGUUUAUGUCCCUUAGGAAAAUUUGUGAUCUAAUUUCUUAGCUCUCUGGUUUGCUUUGGCCCUUUACAUAAGAACCCAAUAAUCCUACUGGGUACUGCUUAGUUUGCAGGCAGAAUUAUUUCAUUUAUGACUAAAUCUCAGUUUAUUCUUUGUCUCCAGACUCUUUGACACUGCUCUGUGUAUGAGGGAUUGGGGGAGGAAAAGAUGCAAUUAAUUUCAGUCCAACUGAUUAUUUACCAAUGCUUUUUGAAAAAAGAUACAGCUGGUUGCAUGAUUUAUUGGCCUAUGUAAUCUAUGUACUUAUUGAAAUAUGAAUUGAUUAAAGUUCUCUGUCUAAACUUUGCUUUUGUUUUAAUAGGCCAAUUAUAAAUAAAAGUUUUGGUCUGUUUGAUAUAAUCCAAGGUAGAAAACAAAGAACAACUAAGGAGUAGGCCUCCUAAUGUUUUUAAUGCAUUCCCUGAAGUCUACCAUUUCCUUUCCAGUUCUGUAUUUGAGAUGAGUGCAUCUGUUCGCACACUUGUAUAUGUGACACCUUGUAAAGGCCCAGCUAGAUUAAAAAUGAAAGAAAUACACUCAGCCUCUUCCAUUUUCAGCAUUAAUGAAACGAGGAAUCUUCAAUUAUGUUUCUUAGUUAAUAAAGUUAUA